This 250-nucleotide ribosomal RNA is filed under the name uncultured bacterium. RNAcentral's name for it is "partial 16S ribosomal RNA". It matches the Rfam family "Bacterial small subunit ribosomal RNA", at positions 524 to 773 of the family's 1533-position model. The record is from RNAcentral.
UACGAAGGGGGCUAGCGUUGUUCGGAUUUACUGGGCGUAAAGCGCACGUAGGCGGGCUAAUAAGUCAGGGGUGAAAUCCCGGGGCUCAACCCCGGAACUGCCUUUGAUACUGUUAGUCUUGAGUAUGGAAGAGGUGAGUGGAAUUCCGAGUGUAGAGGUGAAAUUCGUAGAUAUUCGGAGGAACACCAGUGGCGAAGGCGGCUCACUGGUCCAUUACUGACGCUGAGGUGCGAAAGCGUGGGGAGCAAAC